GUGUGAUUCCAGCACAAGAUGGCUGAUUCUUUUUCUAUAUGCUGUAGUAAACAUGUCACACACAGUAAUGGAGAACUAGCAGAAGAUAAGCAAGACAAGCAAGACAACCUUCUUGGACCAAGAAGGAAAAAUCCGAAUGAAGCAGAACAUAACCUUACUGAAUGGCAUCUCUCUUACAGUAGAGCGUAUAAUUAGCUCAGGCAUAUUUGUAUCCCCCAAGGGAGUUCUGAUGCAUAGUUCCUCUUCUAGGCUUUCUCUGAUUAUCUGGGCCAUUGUUGGACAUUUUUUUUACUGUUUGGGGCUUUAUGUCAUGCAGAACUUGGAACCUUCAUCCAGAAGUGAGGGGCAAGCUGUGCAUACAUCUUGGAAGCAUUUGGUGGAUUUACUGCUUUCAUCUGACUUUGGUCAUCUUUAUUCCUCAUUGAACCACAGAACAGGCCACAGAGGCAAUCACAUUUACAAAACAUGUUAUUGCAUCUCUUUGGCCAAACUGUGAGCCCCCAUAUGAGGCAGGGAAAUAGAUCUUGGCUCCCUGCAUAUGGUUCACAGGUUUGGAUCCCAG
RNAcentral lists this long non-coding RNA (562 nucleotides) under Equus asinus (donkey). Its description in RNAcentral is "lncRNA (ENSEASG00005034623.1)". The record is from RNAcentral. Lineage: Eukaryota; Metazoa; Chordata; Mammalia; Perissodactyla; Equidae.